RNAcentral lists this small RNA (75 nucleotides) under Microvirga vignae. Its description in RNAcentral is "Makes More Granules Regulator RNA (mmgR)". It matches the Rfam family "Makes More Granules Regulator RNA (mmgR)". Rfam says of the family: SuhB later renamed mmgR (makes more granules regulator) was a putative non-coding RNA found multiple times in the Agrobacterium tumefaciens genome and related alpha-proteobacteria. The record is from Rfam by way of RNAcentral. Lineage: Bacteria; Pseudomonadati; Pseudomonadota; Alphaproteobacteria; Hyphomicrobiales; Methylobacteriaceae.
UGCUGCUGCCCUUCUUGGGCGUUUCCUCCCUAAACUUCGGGCCGCUGUCACCAGCGGCCUUUUUUCUUGGGUUCA